Long non-coding RNA from Lycium ferocissimum, 1096 nucleotides. RefSeq lists it as uncharacterized. The transcript is spliced from 3 exons. Lineage: Eukaryota; Viridiplantae; Streptophyta; Magnoliopsida; Solanales; Solanaceae. The record is from RefSeq and is a predicted model, not a curated record.
CGUUCAUCAUAAGCUCCGACACUACCAGCGGGAUGAUCGAGCGGCCGUUGAUGAUGAAUUUCUAGCUUUCAUGGGUGUCCAGCUCCAGCAUUGGCAGGACAGGUUGGGGACUUUAGCGGUGGUCGAUCAUGCGACUCCGAUCAUGGAUUAUAUGCGUUGGUAUCAUGGGAUCACACGCCGAUUGAUUGGCAACCUAGCUUUGCGUCCUGCAAGGGAUGUAGGAUACGCAACACUCGCGGGGCAGUACGAGGCGUUGGUAAGUUUAUCGCAUUUAGAUUUAUUUAAUUGUAUUAAUUAAUACGUUUUAAAAAUAACUAUUUUUUACUGUCGAACACAAAUGCAGCUGGUGGCCGUACAACGAUUAUGCAUAUUGGGGUUAGAGAAUAUGUCUUACCCCGGGGUUGUGGGGCUUGCGGCGGAGAUGGUACCGAUAUUCGAGGACAGCAUCCACCAGGUAGGAAAGUUUAGGCGCAAGGAUGAUGUUGUUCCAGAGGGUGAGUAUUAGGCAGCACGAGGAGGAGGACGUGGUGCUUCCAGAGGACGCGGUGCUGCUAGAAGACCUGGUGGUGAAGGACACCAUCUGGUAGAUAAGGUAGAUGAGACCACUCCCAUUCUAGAGGCCGUUCCCAUUCUAGUCCAUCCGCAGUCGUUCCAGGCUAGUGGCAGCUUAGUUGGAUAGUCACCUACGUUUAUGCCAACGCGCCUACUUGCGGAGAUAUCUGGGUCUUCAUCUCGGCCCGAGCCACAAUGCGUACAUGGAGGAGCGUGAUGAUAUCUAUUGGGCGGCGUUUCGCGCAUCAUUAGAUGAUGAGCGGCCAGUGAGAAAUUUAGACGAACCUAAGAUUCUUGACUUCGAUGACUUUUUAAUUCCGUGGGUCCACCAGAGCGACCCACUUAGGCGUCUUUUCAUGGGCUUGCCGAGCCAGAGGUGUCUUCUCAUGUGACUGUCGAGCCACAUGUAAGCUUUUUAUUAAAAUUAAUUUUAUUCAAUAUAAGGAUUCGGCGCCAAUGGGUCCACAAGAGCGACCCACUCAGGCUUUUUCUCAUAGGCCUGCCAAGCCAGAGGUGUCUUUCAUGAGACUGUCGAGCCAUAGGU